CAGUAGCCGCGGUAAUACGAAGGGUGCAAGCGUUACUCGGAAUUACUGGGCGUAAAGCGUGUGUAGGUGGUUGUUUAGGUCUGUCGUGAAAGCCCUGGGCUCAACCUGGGAAUUGCGAUGGAUACUGGGCGACUAGAGUGCGGUAGAGGAUAGUGGAAUUUCCGGUGUAGCAGUGAAAUGCGUAGAGAUCGGAAGGAACAUCUGUGGCGAAGGCGACUAUCUGGGCCAACACUGACACUGAGACACGAAAGCGUGGGGAGCAAACAGGAUUAGAUACCCCGGUAGUCCCUGUCUCUUAUAC
This 301-nucleotide ribosomal RNA is filed under the name uncultured bacterium. RNAcentral's name for it is "partial 16S ribosomal RNA". It matches the Rfam family "Bacterial small subunit ribosomal RNA", at positions 509 to 807 of the family's 1533-position model. The record is from RNAcentral.